Molecule: ribosomal RNA, 456 nt
Filed under: uncultured bacterium
Lineage: Bacteria
Description: bacterial SSU rRNA
Rfam family: Bacterial small subunit ribosomal RNA
Source: RNAcentral
GACGAACGCUGGCGGCGUGCUUAACACAUGCAAGUUGAACGGGCAUACAUGGAAGCUUGCUGAAGUGUAUGUUAGUAGCGGACGGGUGAGUAAUGCAUGAGAAGCUGCCAUUGGGAGGGGGACAACAGUUGGAAACGGCUGCUAAUACCCCGUAUGCCGGAAGGUAAAAGGGAGCGAUCCGCCUGAUGAGGUGCUCAUGUCCUAUCAGCUGGUUGGUGGGGUAACGGCCUACCAAGGCGACGACGGGUAGCCGGCCUGAGAGGGUGAACGGCCACACUGGAACUGAGAUACGGUCCAGACUCCUACGGGAGGCAGCAGUGGGGAAUAUUGGGCAAUGGGGGCAACCCUGACCCAGCGACGCCGCGUGAGGGAAGACGGCCUUCGGGUUGUAAACCUCUUUUGUACGGGAAGAAGGAAGUGACGGUACUGUACGAAUAAGUCCCGGCUAACUACGUG